UGCUUUCAAGUAGAGUACUCACAACAGCUAGGCCAGCAUCAGUUUUGUGGGUAGGAUAAAUAUCAAGGAAUGUGGCUGCUUGCAGUGUUAUAGCCUUGUAAAUACUGCCACACGGGACUGAGGACUGCUUUACAGGAUGCUGGCGUAAUGGGCUUAAGCCACCC
RNAcentral lists this ribosomal RNA (164 nucleotides) under fungal sp. Its description in RNAcentral is "partial large subunit ribosomal RNA". Lineage: Eukaryota; Fungi. The record is from RNAcentral.